CAAUCGCCGCGGUAAUACGAAGGGUGCAAGCGUUACUCGGAAUUACUGGGCGUAAAGCGUGCGUAGGUGGUGGUUUAAGUCCGUUGUGAAAGCCCUGGGCUCAACCUGGGAAUUGCAGUGGAUACUGGGUCACUAGAGUGUGGUAGAGGAUAGUGGAAUUUCCGGUGUAGCAGUGAAAUGCGUAGAGAUCGGAGGGAACAUCUGUGGCGAAGGCGACUAUCUGGGCCAACACUGACACUGAGGCACGAAAGCGUGGGGAGCAAACAGGAUUAGAUACCCCCGUAGUCCCUGUCUCUUAUAC
This 301-nucleotide ribosomal RNA is filed under the name uncultured bacterium. RNAcentral describes it as "partial 16S ribosomal RNA". It matches the Rfam family "Bacterial small subunit ribosomal RNA", at positions 509 to 807 of the family's 1533-position model. The record is from RNAcentral.